AACAUAUUUUGUCUAAUGGUUUGACUAUCCUUACCCUCUGGCCCAUGUGGUGCAUUCACUCCAAUACUCUGAGAGCACAUCCAUUGGAGUGGUCCUACUAGCUAGCACGGUGCACUGGACACAAUGGACCAACACUCUAACUCAGGGGAAAGGUAUUGGAAAGCCUAUCAUUAAUUUGCACAGCUUACUGCUACUGAAUCUCAACAAGCUGAAUGGCUACAAACUCUCCUACAAUUCUGUGUACUUUGACCCCUGUGUUUGCUAUCCCCUCGGUACAGGGACACCUCAACGAAUUGUGUGACUCUGGUGUCACUCCAGUGUCUAGUACCGUUUCAGCUCAGGUGACAACUACCUAUACUGUAUAAUCAUGAUCAGGUGAUAAUGCCUCUCAAUGUGUUGCCCCCCCCCCCACGGGAGGUACGGGGAAUUUGACUCUAAUUUGACUCUUGAAGUGUUGUCUUCACACUGACUGGGGGAUUAGACCUGGCCUUGCAUAUAGCCUUACCUGGGUGGCUUUGCUGCAUGUCGUCUUUGUGGUCAGAUCUACAAGAUGAUGCCCGAAUCGCUUACUAUCUCAAAAAUUUGGCUGUGAUCUGCUUCUGUCAAGUGGUACUGUAUGUACUAGGUGUGGCUUAUAUACAAAUGUGAUUUCGUGUGUGACUGUGAACGAAGAAACACUUGCAGUGGCCCAGCUCUACCAAGCUUCCUAAGCUAGUAUUGCUGGAUCACAGAUGCGUGUGAUUCUCAGGUGGUGGAGCAGUCAACCAAACGUACGUGUCACAAGGUGAGUGAUAGGCUGUGUAUUAUUAAUCUACCGAGCGAUGCAGUACGUAUAUAUGUACGCGUAGCUUUGUUGCUUUAAAUAAUUAUAAUGAUUAGUGUGUAUCAUUAGCGUACAUCAUGUGACUAUAAUGAAGCCGUACUAAUAAAUAAUAAUUAUCAUAAACAGUAAAUAAGAUAAUAAUUAUAAUAUUUACAAGUUCUUAUGCCACAAAUAGAAACAGUCUGAUGUUGGGUUUCCACCAUGGCAGAGCCAGACACCACACUCGUUACAUCUGUCAGUCCUCUUGUUGGAGUCCUUCCAGCAGAACGCACACCAUCCCCGUUUACAUCUCUUUGCAGGUGGUUGCAGGCACAUUUUAAGAGGAAAGUGUUGGAGCUAAAGAGGGCGCUGGACUCUACUUGAGCGGCCUGGGAGUCUCCUUGAAUAGCACGUGCCAAUCAGCUCCUUGGCCAGUUGGAGGCGGAAGUCUUUUACGUUUUGAUUCGGCUUGGAGGCAUUCUUAAACCGUCUCUCUGUCGCCUGAGAACGGAUCCCGUUGCUACUGGUUGCGACGUCGUUGAGAGGACUGUGAGCACCUUGCUGUCGUGCCAUGCACACGCCACCAGUGGUCCCUUCUGGAAUAUCUUGGAUUCUCCUCUGUCAAAGUACCUCUUCUUCAAACCAUGUUUCUUCAGCCCUGGUGGUAAACCUACACCACACCCAUCCUUCUCCAUAUCUUCAAGAAGUUUGGGGCUCGUAAAAAAGUUGUCAAAGAAAACGUGGUGAUUUUUCUUCUUCAGCCCGUCGGUGCUCAAUGAGGGGGCGGAUCUUCCCUAACCGAUCGUACGAGGGAUCACCUUGUGGAACAAGAUGGUCGUUGUCCACAAAGUGCAGAUACCGGGAGAUAUCACGGAAUCUCUGCCUUGAGAUUACAUCGGCGAUGGGUGCAUAGUGCAUGGUAGUGAUGGUCUCGGCUCCAAUAGUCAUUGAUUGAUGGCAGGUGAUUGAGUCCCAUGAGGAUGGAGAAUCCAAAGAAGGCCCGGAGCUCUUCAACUACCAUUGUUAAAAAAUAGCAGUUACACUUCUUCUGGCGUCUCUGAGAUGUCCACUGUUGGUCCUACUGCUGACUCAAAUGACUUGAUAGUGAGGGUGUGCAAUUCACUCCUCCAGGAUUGCUGUCUGUUGACGGGGGAUCCAUUUCUACAUGUUCCUCAUCAUUCAAGAUGUCUUGUAGAACCUCCUCCGUGGUCCAGUGUGGCCUCUUGGCCAUGCCUGCAGCUCUAUAUUAUUAUUAAAAAAUGUUCGUUCAUGUUAUAAAUAUUUUGUGUUUGUUGGGUGGUAUAAAAACAACAGUAGUAUUCAAGCGUCUGUAUCAAAAAAAAAUUCUGUAUGAUAAUUAUAAGCUUUUUACUUUAUAUAAUGAG
Molecule: RNA transcript, 2187 nt
Organism: Halichondria panicea
Lineage: Eukaryota; Metazoa; Porifera; Demospongiae; Suberitida; Halichondriidae
Exons: 11
Source: RefSeq, a predicted model, not a curated record